ACCGGUUUGGCUCAGUGGAUAGAGCAUUGGCCUGCGGAGUCAAGGGUCCCAGGUUCAAUUCCAGUCAGGG
RNAcentral lists this transfer RNA (70 nucleotides) under Myotis brandtii (Brandt's bat). It matches the Rfam family "tRNA". Rfam says of the family: Transfer RNA (tRNA) molecules are approximately 80 nucleotides in length. Their secondary structure includes four short double-helical elements and three loops (D, anti-codon, and T loops). Further hydrogen bonds mediate the characteristic L-shaped molecular structure. tRNAs have two regions of fundamental functional importance: the anti-codon, which is responsible for specific mRNA codon recognition, and the 3' end, to which the tRNAs corresponding amino acid is attached (by aminoacyl-tRNA synthetases). tRNAs cope with the degeneracy of the genetic code in two manners: having more than one tRNA (with a specific anti-codon) for a particular amino acid; and 'wobble' base-pairing, i.e. permitting non-standard base-pairing at the 3rd anti-codon position. The record is from Rfam by way of RNAcentral. Lineage: Eukaryota; Metazoa; Chordata; Mammalia; Chiroptera; Vespertilionidae.